UACUGAGGUCUGUCUUGAUGUUGAGGAAGAAGCCUAUUCUAUGAUAGAUGAUUGGAGAGGCCUGAGACCAUCAGUUACACAAAGCUCUCAAAUAGAUCCUACACGAGAGGAGGCAAAAUGCAGUUCACUAGAAACUACAGUGGAAAAACCAAAACGACAAGUUGAAACUGCCAUCUAUGCCCAAGUGAUCAAAACCAAGAAGAAAGAAAAUGAUCCUGUGUGCAGUUUUCUGAUGGAAAAAUAGAGAACGCCAUACUACAGUACUGUCUACUUUGUUAUUCCAGGAAAUACAAUAGCAUACAGUGUGGCUUGAAAAUAUGUGCAAUUAUAGCUUUUCUAGUGUUCACCAUGAAAUCUUUGUUUGAUCAGAACCUUUUUAUCUGACAAAGCAGCUUUAUGUUAGCCUAUUGCAUGUAGUAGAGAAACAAUAUAGAAAAGGAAUUAGUGCAGGUCCAAAAAUAAGUAAACCUCAGUUUGAAUUGUUUAAAUCCAGUAGGUCAGUAGAAUCAUCUGUAUAAACAAUUGGGUACCAAAUGAACCCAUCAAAGGAGAGAUCUUUAGGAAAGAGGUUGGGUGGGACUCUAAUAGAGACAGGAAAUCUGGUCAGUUUGGUGUUACCCAUUUAGGUGAAUCCAAAACACGCCAUGCAGAGAUAAAGGAGAAUCUCAGAGGACAUCAGGAAGAGCGUAAUUAGAACAGAGCACUCAGGGGAAGGCUACACAAACAUUUCAAAAAUAUUUACGCUCCAUCAGUCCACUGUGAGGCAAUCAUUUACUGAUAGAGCCCAUUUAACAUGACCGCAACUCGGCCUAGAAGUGGACGUCCUUCAAAAUAUCCCCAAGAGCCACCUGGUUGACUGCACAUCAUCAAGGGAACAAUUAAUUCUGAGGUUUACCAGGAGAUUCUUGAACAAAACCUAGAGACAUCAGUCAGGGAGCAAACAAUGGGACAAAAAUGGAUCUUCCAACAAGACAAUGACCCAAAGAUUUGUGUUUUGGAUUGGCUAAGUCAAAAUCCUGACCUUAAUCAAACUGAGAUGCUUCAGCUAGAUCUGAAGCAAGUAGGAAAUGCCAGACACCCUACAAACCUCACCCAUUUGGUGGAGUUCUAUAAGGAGGAGUGUUCAAAAAUCCUUAGAAAAAAGCCUAACCAAUGUUUGAUUAGGUAAACCAAUGUUUGAUUAUAACAGUGAAUCUUAAAUCUUGUUUUUUUUUGGGGUGGGCAUUGUCUGACAUUGCCCAGACAAUGUCAGGUGUGACUCAGUAGUGUUUAUAGCCUCCACAUGCCUGUAUGCACAGCCAAAAUCGUCUGGGCAUGCUCCUGAUUGAGAAAGCCGUGGGGGGUGUCCUGGGGAAUCUCCUCCCGGACCUGGAUCAGGGCAUCAGUGAGCUCCUGGACAGUCUGUGGCGCUACUUGGCGGCAUCAGAUGCACUGAUACAUAACUUCCCAGAGGUUCUCAACUGGAUUCAGGUCUGGGGAAUGUGAGGGUGAGUCAAUGGUAUCAAUGCCUUCGUUAUCCAGGAACUGCCUACACACUCUGGCCACAAGAGGCCGGGAAUUGUCCUGCACCCUCCUAGGGUAUGCCUCCCCAGACCAAUUGUCCUGCACCCUCCUAGGAUAUGCCUCCCCAGACCAAUUGUCCUGCACCCUCCUGGGAUAUGCCUCCCCAGACCAAUUGUCCUGCACCCUCCUAGGGUAUGCCUCCACAGACCAACACAAAUCCUCCACCAAACUGGUCAUGCUGGAUGAUGUUGCAGGCAGCAUAACGUUCACCACGGUAUCUCCAGACUCUUUCACGUUUGUCACAUGUGCUGAGUGUGAACCUGCUCUCAUCUGUGAAGAGAACAAGGCGCCAAUGGUGAACCUGUCAAUUCUGGUGUUCUCUGAUGAAUGCCAGUCGAGCUUCAUGGUGCUGGGCUUUGACCAUAGGUCCCACUAGAGGACAUUGGGCCAUUGGGCCCUGUCCAACUCUCCUUGUGUAAUGGCCCACCACCAGGAAUCUCCUCCAUGCUCCUGAUACUGUACUGGGAGACACAGCAAACCUUCUUGCAACGGCAUAUAUGGAUUUGGCAUCCUGAAGGAGCUGGACUGCCUGUGCAACCUGAAUGGGCUGCAGGUACCACAUGCUACCAGUAGUGACAAAGACACUAGCAAAACGCAAAACUAGAGAAGAAUCAUUCAGGAAGUAUAAGGAGGCCACCACCUGCAAAACCAUUCCUAUUUUGGGGGUUGUCUUGUUGUUUCGUCUCCAGUGCACCUGUUGUUACUUUCAUUUGCAUCCAAACUGGUGACAUCGAUUCACAGUCUUUUAUGCUUCCUAGCUGGACAGAUUGAUAUCCCUGAAGUUUAAUUGAGUUGGUGUUAUACUGUGAUGAUCACAUGUCCCCUUAAUUUGUUUGAGCAGUGUAGAUAUAACAUUGACUCCUUAAUAACAAGCCAGCAUAAUGUAUUAUCAACAUGUGUUUUCCUGAUUACUUUAGUCACAUGUCUAACUAACUCACAUUAAAUCAAAUAAAUUAUUGAAUCAGACACAAUUGGGGUACUUAUUCUUUUGUUAUUGUGUAAAACUGAAA
Molecule: long non-coding RNA, 2573 nt
Organism: Esox lucius (northern pike)
Lineage: Eukaryota; Metazoa; Chordata; Actinopteri; Esociformes; Esocidae
Source: Ensembl